CAAAAAUAAAUUUCAUUUCCACCAAACUGCUUUAUUUGCUUGGGAGCAGCACCAGUCUUAAGUUUGUUAUUGCUGAGCUCAAAGUGACUUUCAGUGAAUCCUGAUUAUUAAGGCCCUGGCCAGGGGUUUUUUUUUUUUUUUUUUUAAAGUCUCCCCUCCACCUUCUACCUCUGGUCAGGGUCGAUCAAUACUUCCCCCGUAGCUUAUCACUAAUGUGCAACUGGCUGUUUGUCCAAACUCUGCUCUGUCUACAUAAAGACUUGGAUGGGACAGCCCUGAACCCAAAUGCACCACGGAUCACUUCACGAACCUGCAGCUGCGGACGCUCUACUGGACUUAAAACUGGCAUUAACAAAGAGACACUGGCAUGAGAAGGAAGACCGAGAGUAGAAGAGAAAAAGAGUAGCUGCAGGGAAAAGUGCAACUAUUGAGUAUGAAUGAAUCUGGAAAGACCUUUUGAAAAUUAAGGUGCACACAGCUGCAGUCAUCCCCACAAUCAGUUAGGAAAAAAAAGACUAGACUGGACUUUGGACAUACUGGAUAAGCCUAGAAUAUUUACAUGACACUAUGGCUUUUUUUUUCUUUUCCUUCAAAAUCUGUUAUUGUCUGUUUUUACUGCUUUAAAAAAAAAAAAAAAAAAAAAAAAAAUUGGCCAAGUAUAAACUGCACAAUUUAUUUAAUCUGGAUUUUUCUUUCCUGAUUUUACACUUUUCCCCCGUUUUGUUUCACCAGGUCACCCAUCCACCACUUUGCACCAACAGCGCCUCUGUCUGCAGAAAACCUUGUCCUCCAGAGCUGUGGAGUGUGACAAUGGUGUUUGUUUCCUCUCCGUCAAACGCCAUUAUCACACUAAAUAGCUACAGUGUGAAAAGCACCUCGGCGCACUCCUUCACUUUUGGGUUUAAGUGUUUGUUUGGUUUUUUUUUUUGUUUUUUUUAAUAAAUCCUCCUGUUUUAAAUUUGUUGUUCACACUGUAAAGCAAGACUGUAUGUCAGCUGUGCCAGUGGCUCUGUGCACACUACACCAGAGCAGGAGAUGGAAAUAGACAUUUGGUGUGUUUAUGCAUCGUAUGUGAUGCUGAGCCUCUGAGUGUGGCCUACUUUCUUUUUGGAUUCAAGGUGCUAAUUUGCUGCUAGAGACCUUAAAACAGGCCUUGGUUUACUACUACUGCUGAUGCCAGAGUUGUAAAUGUAACGCCUAUUGCACAUUUGUCUCUCUGUUUACCGUAAAUAAAGUGCUUUUGAUUUGUUGCUGA
Long non-coding RNA from Oreochromis aureus, 1255 nucleotides. RefSeq lists it as uncharacterized. The record is from RefSeq and is a predicted model, not a curated record. NCBI's taxonomy places the organism in Eukaryota, Metazoa, Chordata, Actinopteri, Cichliformes, Cichlidae. The transcript has 2 exons.